CUGGAGUAUUGGGAAAAUGCGGAAAACGCCUUGUACUUACUCAGGAAUUUCAGUUGAUGUCAAGUGACUUGAUCGUCGAAAACGAGUACAGAAAAGGUGGAACAACAACUUCUGAAAUACAAACGAAAUAUUUAUCUAUUGGAGAGUACUUACCAACACCUGCAAGGACAAUUGUGAUCAGGAGAAUGAACCUAUACAAUAAAAGAAAAUAACACUUAGUUAAUUGUCCUACCAAUAGCAUGUCUUCCCAAAGAUUACAGGCGACUUGGAUUCCUGAAUCUGACCACUAUUAAACAGAGAUUAUUAUGCAAAAGCUUGUGGAAAUUGGAGAAUGCCGAAGGGCGAGUGAUAGGUGCCGGUGCGCCGGCCGAAAUUUCGACCGGUCGCACCGCAGACGUACGAUCUGAGUAGUUUUAGCCACAUGAUCUCUCCCAAAUGUUGCUUCAGAAAAAAAUAGAAAAGGAAAUCCAUGGCAAUUUGUCCACCGCGUCAAUGCCGUGAUCCUGGGAGAUGCCAGCGAGCUCGCCGUCCAUGCUCACCCGCUUGCCUCGCUGACGUUCGCCGCCCUCAUCGCCGGUGGUCGCCCUCGCCGCACCAACCUCGUCGAUUCUAGUAGGACGUGCCACCCCUUGUAGCAAAUCGCCGCCGCCCUGUAGCACGCCCGCCGUCUCUAUAGUUGCAGCACGUAGCCAUCCUGUUGUAGCACGUCCGUUCCAGCAGCCCCGGCGACCUUGCAGCGUGUCUCGCCGUGGGUGGCCGUCGCAACUCACAGUGGUGACCUAUCACAGAUCUAAAAAACAGCUUCGACUGUUGUAGCUUUGGAAUUGCUGGUUCCAGCAAAACUAGAUGUUGGUUGAAGCAAAAUUUCUCACCGGCUGUAUCAAAAAUUGCUUACCAAUCCCAAUGAAGAAAAAAUGUUUUGCAUCUCUGGAAACACGGGCUCCAGCAAAAAAAGAUACUGGUUGAAGUAAAACUGCUUGCUGGUUGUAUCAAAAAUGACUUGCCGAUCCCAACGAAGAAAAAUGCUUCCAUACUCACAUUCAUAAAAAAUCAUUGGUUCCAGCAAAAAAGCCUGAUGGUUCUAGCAAAAACAAUGGUUGGUUGAAGCAAACAAAAAAGUCAUGGGGCUCACAUUUCAUGGAGAUGGAUGUAGCAAAAAUUUACAAACACUGGUAGUAACAAAAACCAAAACGGUUGUAGCAAAAUUGUUCGCCGGUUCCAGCAAAAAUCAACGUGCUAGCAGAUUUUGGGUGGGUGGGUGGUAGCAAAAACAUGGGCUAGUUCCAGCAGAAACAAACAUGGUUGUAGCAAAAUCCUGCGGCGGUGGGCUGGCGGCCAUGGAGAGCAGCGCUCCAGCUGCGAACGGCCAUGGCGACCAGCGCUGGUUCGCACCGCAGCACAGUCGCGACGCCGGUGAGCCCCACGCAUCAUCUCCACUCACCGGGGGACGCGCCGCAUUAGUGCUUGGUGCUUUAGGCAUGCCGAUGCUAGGCGAUGCAUGCCUCGGGAUGAAUAUGUGCCAUGGCAUCAGGUCAGAGGGGGAAGGAUGCGUGGGUGGCCAUGGAUCAGUGGCUGGAAUAGUCGAGGGGAUAAACUGGCUGAGAGGUGGG
RNAcentral lists this long non-coding RNA (1610 nucleotides) under Triticum aestivum (bread wheat). Its description in RNAcentral is "long non-coding RNA (TAES_LNC009914)". The record is from RNAcentral. Lineage: Eukaryota; Viridiplantae; Streptophyta; Magnoliopsida; Poales; Poaceae.